GGCGGAAGUGUGGUCCUGUCCGGCGCCGCCGCCGUCUAUUACAUAGCGCCCGACCCGGUGGCGUCUCCCCCGUAGCUGCGCCGAUGCGCUCCAGCCCUCGCACUCGUCGCCGCCUCUCCUACAAGGUGUGAAUGACAGAGGAAGUGCCCUCCACUGCACUCAGUGAGGUCAACAGGCGCCUUCUCUGCCAUGAUGACAUAGACACAGUGAAGCAACUCUGUGCCGACUGGUUCCCCAUUGAGUAUCCUGACUCAUGGUAUCGUGACAUCACUUCCAACAAGAAAUUCUUUUCCCUCGCUGCCACUUACAGAGGAGCCAUUGUGGGCAUGAUAGUGGCGGAAAUAAAAAACAGGACAAAAGUACAUAAAGAGGAUGGAGAUAUUCUAGCCUCCAAUUUUCCUGUUGAUACCCAAGUUGCUUACAUCUUAAGCCUAGGUGUGGUGAAAGAAUUUAGAAAGCACGGAAUCGGUUCCCUCUUACUGGAAAGCUUGAAGGAUCAUAUAUCUACUACAGCCCAAGACCACUGCAAAGCCAUCUACCUUCACGUCCUCACCACCAACAACACUGCAAUAAACUUUUACGAAAACAGAGACUUUAAGCAGCACCACUAUCUGCCCUAUUAUUAUUCCAUUCGGGGAGUCCUGAAAGAUGGUUUCACCUAUGUUCUCUACAUCAAUGGAGGGCACCCUCCGUGGACAAUCUUCGAUUAUAUUCAGCAUAUCGGGUCCGCGCUAGCCAGCCUGAGCCCUUGUUCAAUUCCUCAAAGAAUUUACCGCCAGGCUCAGAGCCUUCUUUGCAGCCUCUUGCCUUGGUCAGGCAUUUCUGCCAAGAGCGGAAUCGAGUACAGCAGGACAAUGUGACUUGCUGUGGAAGACCGCCAUCCCCUCCGGGAAAAGAAGCCAACGAGAGGUACCGAGCCCGGGGUGUCCAUUCACCCCCUCCCCGAGACCCUAGCAUCGGCUCGACGGCUUAUCCCAUCGUUCAUCUGUUGAAACUACCUAAUUCUGCACUGAUUCCUCCAAACUUGAGCUCCCUGUCCUCCAGAUCCUCUAUAAUGCCCGCCCUCCAUAAAUGAGCCAAGGCCAGGCUGCCGUUGAUCUCAAUUUGCCAUGCCUUUAACCUCUCCUCCAGGUGCAGGAGAGACUGACCUUUGCCCUCAUAUAGGGCAGCCGCCCAGGACCUGCCCUUCUACAGCCAGCCGGGGAGCAGCAGAGUCUCAUCACUGGAGCAGGCACGCUCUUUUCUGAUCCACUUGCUUCCCUUAUCGCUUUACCAAGUCCUCCACGUGGCCUCAGCCCCGAAUUAAUCGUCCGGCUGGACCCCAGAGCAGAUUGGAAGUGAGUACGUGGGGCAGAUGAGGAGAUUGCAAAACGCUUUUGCAGCACCCGUGUGAGAAACUGAACCCCACCUCCCCAUGAUGCCAUGGCCCCUCUAGUUGGCACAGCGGAGAGAAGAUGCUGACUUAGAAACCACCCUGACCCUCCCCAUGAGGCUACCCGGCCUGCCAAGUCACAGCCACCCGGAGUCCGUGGCUGCAGGUGGAGGCUUCUUAUGGCCGAGGCCUCUCUUGGUGGUCGGGCCCCGGAGCCUCUUGCACUGCCCCCAGCCAGCACAGGAUUUCCAGAACAAAUGGACCGGUCAUCCUCGGAUUCCUUUGGAUGGAAGACCGAUGAACCUGGGCUGGGAUGGUCUGACGACGAGUGAUAAUUCCACCGUUCUGUUUUUUUCCCAUCCUCGUUAGUAUCUGAUUUCAGUUAUGCCCUGGGGGGACAGGGAAUGAUACUGCUUUUUCUUACUGAAAUUCUUCUCUGUUUCUGAGCUAGUGUCCAAGGGCUGGAGCACAGUGGCUGAAUCAUUAGAGUUCCCAAGGCCAGGCCUUAAGAAAUUCUUUCCAAUUGUUUCCCUGUUGUUCCUUAAGGAAUUCUUUCUGAUUCUUCCCCUGUUGACCCUCUUCCUCCUCCUCCUCUUCCCCUUCCUCCUCCUCCCCCCCCCUCCUCCUUCCUACCUAGAGCUUCCUAAGGCCCUACGUGAAUCUUAGCCAGCAUGAACCGCCUUGCAAGUGGGAAGAACUGAAUGCGGUCACAAUUUCCAGAUUUGGAGCUACAGUGGCUAGAGAAAUGCCGGUGUGGGCUGAGGCCCCCCGCCUCAUUUCCCAGCCUCCGAGGAAGCAAAUUUCAGUUCCUCCAGGGCGGGUGGCAGAAAAGGCCGUGGCAGUAGUUCGACUGUUUCAGUACUGUAAAACGGGGCUUGCAGCAUGGCGUGGGCUUGCAGCAUGCUCAUCGGUUGUGUGCCCCUCUGACGUCCCCGUCCCUUAAAUUCUGCGCCCCUGAAGGGUGGCAGGACCAAAGGGCACAGGGUCAUCGGCAUUCAGUUAAACCACUGUAUAGUGUUACGAGUUCAACCCUCCCUCCAGCGUGUGAACAACCCGCUCAGGUGUAAACCUCGACUCUAGGAUUUCCCAGCACCUGACUCCCCCCACCCACCCUCCCCGCAUGCUCGAAAGAGAUCGAUUGGACCUCUCUGCCCCUGUUUUUCUCAUUGUCCCGGUGGUGGGAAAGGUGUAUUAUAGAGAGUUCUUUAGAUGAAGGUUCUAGCCUGCACCCUGUUGCCCCCCUGCUUUCAGGCACUGCGGAGGUAACUGGCAUUUGUAAAUGCCACAUUCACGGUCACGGUCCCAUUCUAAACCCGUCCAGACUUCUGCGAUAGCUGGCCAGGUGCUCUGAGGUCCUAACGUGCCCUCUUAUUUAAUAAAUCCAGAUUACCCUCUGGUUUGGGUUUUUUUCUUUUGGUGAUGGGGGUGGGGACGAAUGUUCCCGAUUCUAAUAUUUGCCCUUUAAUGUUUAACCAUUCAGCAUUCAAUCAAAAAGGGAAUUGCCCCCGUGCCUACCCCAUCACCGUAGAGUUUAACUCAGUGUUGAAUGGACGGUAGUAUUUUGUCUGUCUUACUACAAAAAAUUAAUAAAAUCUUAAGUCAAUCAGA
Molecule: RNA transcript, 2980 nt
Organism: Tachyglossus aculeatus (Australian echidna)
Lineage: Eukaryota; Metazoa; Chordata; Mammalia; Monotremata; Tachyglossidae
Gene: NAA60
Gene name: N-alpha-acetyltransferase 60, NatF catalytic subunit
Exons: 7
Source: RefSeq, a predicted model, not a curated record